RNAcentral lists this unclassified non-coding RNA (1108 nucleotides) under Hevea brasiliensis (rubber tree). The record is from RNAcentral. Lineage: Eukaryota; Viridiplantae; Streptophyta; Magnoliopsida; Malpighiales; Euphorbiaceae.
GCUCCAAUUGAUUCACAAGAAGCUAUACAAAUUUCAAAAAAUUCUAAUUCAGUCUAGGCGACAGAACAUGAAAUGCAUUCAUUUAAUCCAAAAUGGAGAACUCUUUUUUUUUUGGCGGGGUUUGGUGAAGGAUAGUAGGAUACAUUUAUAAGUACUUUAGCAGUCACAAAAUUGAGAACAAUUGUUUUCCAGAUUAACAUUAACAUGCUUAAAUGGGAGGAAAAAUAUCAUUCAUCAUAUUUCCAAAAUCAAAAAGGGAUAAACUCAAACAUUCCAAUACUAGAUGGGAAAAACAGAUGAGGCAAAAGGCUCUUCAUCUAAUACAAUAUUUCAACACCACAAAUCGUAUCUUGUUAUAAAAUUCUAAAUAAACCCAGAGGAUUUUAAUUCAAAAACAAUAAACAUUAAAGGAAAGAAUAUAACGCGAUUAUAUGAGAUUUUAGCUUCAAUGCUUGUAAUAAUUUUUCGUGUAAAAAUAUGAGCACAAUCAGGCUUCAAGUAGGAUGUGGGAAAGCAGAAAUAAGUUAUUAGCUUUCCCUCAUUCCAUUCCUACACACAAAAGCAUCAAAGAAAAAAAAAACCAUGCCAGAAGCAACUAAAGGUGCAAGUACACAAACUCAGCAGCUCUUACUCAUUUAGCCACAGAUAAACAGACCAUAUCUACAUGGCCCAUUGCAAAGUAAAACAAUAUUCCUUAAAUAAUGAUCUGCCAACACACACACACCUCAUGGUAAUUAAGCCAGAUUGGAGUGUUCAAUGUAAGCUAAAAAUGGACCUCUUCCAUUCAUCAAACAGCAUAGCCAAAAACUAAAUAACCUUAACAGCCUACAUUUCUGGUUCUUCAACAACCCUGCUACAUUAGACAACUGAAAGUUCGGAGAAGUCCCACAACAUCUAAUACAACCAAGUUACAAUAUAUGAAUUCUAUUAGAGAAGGGGCUAAUUCUUUCCCACAGAAAUGUAAGUCACCACUAGAUUUAAACAAACUAACAAGAAAAUAUUGUCAAUGUCACACAUAUCUUAUUAUAUUGCAUUGUGCCCAAUUAUAAAUUAAGCCACCAUAAGAGGAAAGCCUUUGUUUUACGCAAUUAAAUGAAUUAAAAACGUG